CAAAAACAUCGCCUCUUGCAAAAAUCAAUGUAUAAGAGGUCCUGCCUGCCCAGUGAAUAAUUUUAAACGGCCGCGGUAUUUUGACCGUGCAAAGGUAGCGCAAUCACUUGUUUUUUAAAUAAAAACCUGUAUGAAUGGUGAAACGAGGGCUUAACUGUCUCCCCCCUCUGAUCAGUGAAAUUGAUCUACCCGUGCAGAAGCGGGUAUAAAUAUACAAGACGAGAAGACCCUAUGGAGCUUUAGACACAAAACCAACUGUGUUAUAAACCCCUAAUUAAAGGGACUAAACAAAACAGCAACUGAUUUACGUCUUCGGUUGGGGCGACCACGGGGGAAAACAGAUCCCCCAUGAGAAGCGGAAAAUUUUCCUAAAACCACGAGGCACACCUCUAAGUCACAGAAUUUCUGACCAAAAGAUCCGGCAUAGCCGAUCAACGAACCAAGUUACCCUAGGGAUAACAGCGCAAUCCCCUCCAAGAGUCCAUAUCGACAAGGGGGUUUACGACCUCGAUGUUGGAUCAGGACAUCCUAAUGGUGCAGCCGCUAUUAAGGGUUCGUUUGUUCAACGAUUAAAGUCCUACGUGAUCUGAG
Molecule: ribosomal RNA, 591 nt
Filed under: Myxiops aphos
Lineage: Eukaryota; Metazoa; Chordata; Actinopteri; Characiformes; Acestrorhamphidae
Description: Deuterodon aphos partial 16S large subunit ribosomal RNA
Rfam family: Bacterial large subunit ribosomal RNA
Source: RNAcentral